Molecule: ribosomal RNA, 253 nt
Filed under: uncultured bacterium
Lineage: Bacteria
Description: partial 16S ribosomal RNA
Rfam family: Bacterial small subunit ribosomal RNA
Source: RNAcentral
UACGGGGGGAGCAAGCGUUGUUCGGAUUUACUGGGCGUAAAGGGCGCGUAGGCGGCGUGACAAGUCACUUGUGAAAUCUCCGGGCUUAACCCGGAGCGGCCAAGUGAUACUGUCGUGCUAGAGUGCGGAAGGGGCUACUGGAAUUCUCGGUGUAGCGGUGAAAUGCGUAGAUAUCGAGAGGAACACCGGUGGCGAAGGCGGAUCUCUGGGCCUUACCUGACGCUGAGGCGCGAAAGCUAGGGGAGCGAACAGG